CCAAGCACCUGCAAUCCUGCCUGCAUUAUAAUACAUGCAACUAUACAUCCACACACGCAUAUAUAUACCUUUUUUAUUUUUUUUAAACAUCCAUAUAUGCAUACAUUAUAUACAAACACACUCAAAACAUAUAUAUAAUAUACUUGUUCAAUCCAUUAAGCCCUCUCUCACCCUCUCCAACAUUCCAACAAAAAUGGCAACAUGUAGCAAAGAAAAGGCAGUGUUAGUAACAGUGUAUGUGGAGCGUCCAAGAAAGAAGAAGGUGCCAACAAAUCAUCAUCAUCAUCACCAUCACCACCAUCAUCAUUAUCUUCAUCACACCACCAAAAGAGAGGUAACCCAAGUCAACCAUGGUGCUCCUGGACCUGGUAAAGGUUAUGAUAGGAGAGCCCAGCUGCUUCAGUACUCUAAACAUCUACGGGAGUCUUCUCGAUCAGCAACAAUCACACCCUUACCAUUAAAGCCAACUUCAUCCAGCAACCACAACCAGCAACCUUCAACCCAAAUUGUCGCUUUUCAGAGAAAGCGAAAACAAGAUAGAGCACCAGCUUGCCUUGGCAUUUGGAAAAUCCUGCUUCCAAACUUCUUCAGAUCUUUGAUAAGUUCCAAAGCUAGGAAAGAAAGAAAGAAAGAAGAAGAAACACCGUGGAUCAAAAACCAAUACGCUUAAAGAUGUCAUGAAAGAUUUAGCGGGGCAAAAGAAGCAGGGAUUUAUUUCAAAACUGUCUUCAACAUUACAAAAGAAUAGGUGAAGCAUCAUUUAUAUGAAUACAAAUCUACAGGGUGUAUUAUGCAACUAAUAGAAUGGAAGUAAAAAAAAAAAAAAAAUGUCAGAAUCGAAUUUUUCAUUAUGUUUAUAGAUUAUGUGAUCCAUAAUAUACAAUAAAACCACUUCUCUUUCUUUU
Long non-coding RNA from Quercus robur (English oak), 905 nucleotides. RefSeq lists it as uncharacterized. The transcript has 4 exons. Lineage: Eukaryota; Viridiplantae; Streptophyta; Magnoliopsida; Fagales; Fagaceae. The record is from RefSeq and is a predicted model, not a curated record.